Molecule: unclassified non-coding RNA, 247 nt
Filed under: Xylaria subtorulosa
Lineage: Eukaryota; Fungi; Ascomycota; Sordariomycetes; Xylariales; Xylariaceae
Description: partial contains 5.8S ribosomal RNA, internal transcribed spacer 2, and large subunit ribosomal RNA
Source: RNAcentral
CGCACAUUGCGCCCAUUAGUAUUCUAGUGGGCAUGCCUGUUCGAGCGUCAUUUCAACCCUUAAGCCUCUGUUGCUUAGUGUUGGGAGUCUACGAUGGCGUAGCUCCUCAAAAUCAGUGGCGGAGUCGGUUCACACUCUAGACGUAGUACAUUUUAUCUCGCCUGUGAGUUGGACCGGUCCCCUGCCGUAAAACCCCUAAUUUUUAAAGGUUGACCUCGGAUCAGGUAGGAAUACCCGCUGAACUUAA